Molecule: ribosomal RNA, 224 nt
Filed under: uncultured bacterium
Lineage: Bacteria
Description: partial 16S ribosomal RNA
Rfam family: Bacterial small subunit ribosomal RNA
Source: RNAcentral
AGUAACACGUGGGUGAUCUGCCCUGCACUUUGGGAUAAGCCUGGGAAACUGGGUCUAAUACCGAAUAGGACUACGCACUGCAUGGUGUGUGGUGGAAAGCUUUUGCGGUGUGGGAUGGGCCCGCGGCCUAUCAGCUUGUUGGUGGGGUGAUGGCCUACCAAGGCGACGACGGGUAGCCGGCCUGAGAGGGUGUCCGGCCACACUGGGACUGAGAUACGGCCCAG